AUUUUACCAUAUAUGUUUUUUAUUGAAUAGAUUGUUUCAAACUUUCACAUAAAUUAGGUUUUUUUUAUUAUGUUUUUUGGAUUGUUAUUUCAUUAUUUAACUCGUAUUUUAUAUAAAUAUUGGUAAAUAUUUUUUAUUGUUACCUCGAAAAUAUUGUAAUAUUUCACAAAUUUAAAAAGUUUUAAAAUUAAAUUUUUACCUACAUAUAUUAUCGAGUAGAUUUACAUUUGAGUAUACUUGUCUCCAUCAAAUAGAUUGUUUCAAAUUUCACAUGUGUUUGUUUGUUCGUAUAUGUUUUUUUGUUUGUUGGAUUAGUAUUUCAUUAUUAAAAAAAAUAGAAAUGGAAUUUGGAAAAUAUUAAAACAUUAUUAUCUCCAAAUAUAAUAAAACAUUUCACAAAAUAAGAAACUUAACAAAAACUAAACCUUAAGCUUCAUGUAUAAAUUUUAUAAAGAAUUUAAUUUAACAUUUCAUUAUAUUUUUUAAAAUAAAUUAUAUAAUUUUAAAAGUUAAGAUUGUAAAGAGUUAAAUAGUAUACAUAUGGGUCAAGUUAUUUUUUUUUUUAAAGUUUAAUGGUCAAGUAUUCUUUAAAUUCAAUUAUCAUAAGAUCACAAAACUUAGUACAUAGAUGCAUACGAUUACUAAAAAACAAAUAAGCACAUAUCAUCUCACAGUCUCAUCAGCGAAGAUCAACUCAAGAGUAUCUCCUCCAUAGUUGGUUCUCUGUCUCCACGAAUGAACCAAGUUCACUUCAAUGCGCCACCCUUGCUUGAAUGGCUUGAUGUUUUUAAGCAAAGAAACAUUUUUAUUAGUAGGCAUGGCUUUAGGGGUUCGAGUUUUUGAUGAUGGUUGAUAUUAUGAAUCUUGCGAUCAAUAUUUAUAGAUGGGUAGUUAUUUUUAGGGUAUUUUACGAAGUAUAUUCUGUGGGAUUUGUAAUUAAUUAUAUACAAAAUAUAGAAUAUUAAGAAUCAGUUGUUAUAGUUACCUAUAUUGUAGAUAUUGAUAUAUUCAUUGUAAAUCUGGUAUCAAGUAUAUUAAAUCGAUGAUAUUGUUUAGGUUGUUAUGGAAAAUAAAAAGAUUUUACGUGAUUAUGUUUCGAAAAUAUAGGAAACAAAUUGAGAAGGUCACGACAACAAUAAAUAUGUGAGCUUGAUCUCCAAGUUUUAAAAUAAAUGCUUAGAAUAUCAUAUAUGUUAGUACACUCACGAAAACUAUAUAUUAUUUAAAAGUAGAUAUUGCUUUGAUUAGUUAUAACAGAAUAUGAAUUUAUCUUUAUUUAAUUUGAAUUGUUAACGGAAUAGAUGUAGACAUCUAUUGUUGCAACUAAAUGUAGAUAUUCUAAAUUUUUUAUAGACGUUAACAAUGGACCAACUUCAUCUUCUCCAAAUGCAUCAAUUUCUUCAGUAAAUUAUUAACAUAGUUUCAGAGCUUACAAUCCAAUAAUCUUUAGUAAAUGGUAAGACAACUAAAUGAACGUAAUUGUAUCACGCGACAAUUAUUUUAAUAUUGUCUUCUGCUUUCAUUGACUUCAAAAGCAUAAAUGGACGUUAACAAUAGACCAACUUCAACUUCUCCACACUAAGAGUGAGUUACCUUCUCAGACACAUUUUUCUCUUUUUUAUCAUGAUAAGGCACUUUUCACUGGAGAGAUACAUUGUCCUCUUCCACCCCAUGUGGUUUUACAGCAGUAUCCCUUUACGUUUGGUUAAGGGAAGUAAAAAACUCAUUUCUUUUUGUUUGUUUGAUUCUAUUUAGUUAGUGGGGACCAGAACUUUUCACUUAUAAAAAAAGAGUGUAUAUUUUAUCUAAAAAGAAAUAGAAAGCACGAUUGAUAUCUAAAAAGAAAUGAAAACACGUACAAAAAAUAAAAGAGAGCGAAUAUGUAUCAAAAGUAACUUUUUAAAUUCCCCAAUAUGUUAUAUGUGUCAACAUUUUAUAUUAUACUAUAUAAAUAAAUAUAUAAUCACAUAAAAUAAAUCAUUAAUUUUUUUCUUUAUAUUUUGAUAUCCAUAUGUAUAUAUGUAUUUUAAUAUUUUUUAAAAUCAAAUUUCAAUUUCAUACGGAGUAUUUUGAUAUUUGUGGACACAAAAUUUGUGGAUACAUUUCUCAUGGACACAUUUGAAAUAGUUGUGGACAUAUGUUUUGUCGAUAGUUUUUUGGUAUUUUGUAGAUACAUUUUUGAUGGACAAAUUUAAAACAUCCACUGAUAUGACAGAGACAUUUAGUGUACAAUAUUUUAUAGACAAAAUUUUGUGGACAAAAAUCUUAAAGUCUUACAAAUUUUAUGUACAAUUUUGUGGACAAGAUUGUUUGUAGACAAAUCAUACAAAUAUUCAAAGCUUCUUUUUCCAAAUCAGUAGCAGACUCUUACAUCUUUUAUAGUCACAAAGUAUUUCCCAUUCAAAUGUGUCUUGGAUUAUGUUCUCUUUGUCCCUCCAAACAUUCUGUUAAGUUUUUUGAACUAUAUUGUGCUACUCUUUCCAAAUGUUCUUCAAAGUUACAAACUUUCAAGAAAUUUAGAGAGACGUUAUCAAGUAUAAGCAAAAAAAUGACAAGGAAAAUGAUUAAAAACUCACUCUUUGUCACUAUUAUUACAGAUCUAUAGAUCUACAACUCUUGAAAGGAGAAAAGAGUUAAGGUAGACGAAAUAAAAAUCUCCGAAGACGAGCUCAUUUGAAGUUGGUUGACUAACAAACUUCUUUUUCUUCUUCGACUUUGAUUUGGCCAUGGUUCGCGAUUUACAGAGAAAAAAGAAAAAUAACAAUAAAGUGAAAAAUUAAAAUCAAACAAUAUUUUUGCGCCUUUUAUGUUUUCAUGAUACGAAACAGAGAUGAAAAGGGUCUCGAUGAAAAGUAGAUGAAAAUGAAAAAAAAAAUGUAGAAAGACAGAAGAGGUGAAGAGAAAUAACAAAAUCAGACAUGCGACAAGGAUAAAAGCUUAAUCGUAAUCUUCAACAAUUAAUGAAGAAGAAAGAGAGAGUUUGGUGAAAUUAAAGUUAGAGAAUUGGGGAAGUAAAUGAAAAAGUAGAUCUGAGAUUGUAAAUUAAUUUACGGACUUUUGGAAAUUCAAAAAUAAAAUAAUUUUGGAAAGUGUAGACGAGGGCAUCUAAGACAAUACACAUAGAGAAAGUGUGUCUCCAGCAACAAGUGUCUUAUGUGUAAUUAGAAAGACAUAAUGUGUCUUAGAGAGUAAAAAUUUCCCAUACUAAUCAAUGUGUUGAGUAAAUUAUUAACAUAUGUUCAGAGCUUACAAUCAAAUAAUCUUUAGUAAAUAUUGUCUGCAAACACAACGCUACAAAAACACAAUGAUUAAACAAAUAAUCUGGGAAGACGUCUGUGAAUGUCAAAUUUUACAUGAAAACCACAAACUCUACUGAGUUAUAGAGAGUUAUAUCUAAGCGCAAAAAAAAAAAAAACAAAACCAGAAACUCUCGUGAGUUAUAGAUUUAUAUGUCUUGAAAAUAUUUUUUUAAUAAUGUCUUUUAUUUAAUAUCAAGAUUACUAAUGAUUGAAAAUGUAAUGUAACCAACUCUAGUAGAUAAGUCCAUUUUUUUAAAAAUCAUACAUGAAUGAGAAGUUAUGACUUUUUUUUAAUAGAAAAGAUAUAAGAUGUAGAUAAUCAAAUAUGGCAUAUUAAGUAAGGGGGAAUUUUACUUCUACACUUUCUUUGGUACCACAUUUCAAGUAUACCACUAGUAUGAAGACAUUUUUAUAAAUACAUAUUUUAUUAAUGACCAAAAGACCAUACUAGCCCUAACCUUAUUUCUCCCUCGCGAUCCUUUUUUCUUCCUCUCUCUCUCGCAAUCUUUUUUCUUCCUCUCUGCCUCCGAUUCACCGGAGAUCCACCAUCUCUCUCUCGUGAUUUUUUUUUCUUCCUCUCUGCCUCCGAUUCACCAGAGAUCCAUCAUCACUCUCUCAUUCCACCGGUUCUCUGCGGUUCACACUGUCGACUCGUACUUCUGUACAAGAUUCCCAACUGGUAUGCAUCUAAUUUCUCCUUUUUUUUGUUUGUGUCGAUUAAUUUUGCGAAAUUUCAAUUUUGUGGUUACUCUAGUCGAAAAAUCAAACAAGGUUGCUUUAGACUUCUAAUCUGUACAGGUCGAUCUAAGAUAAACAGUUUUGAUUGUGAAAACAUUGAGUUUUUGACAACUUAAGACCCUUUAUAACCCUUUGUAAAUCUAAGUUAUUUUGUAAUGUAAUUGAUAUGUUCAGUUCCCGAGAAGCUGUGUUCAAGCUUAUAUGAGAGCCACAACCCUGCCAGCACACAUUUGCUUCGAUGUACAAUGAAUCUGUUCCCUUUAGCGAACUAAUCUCCUCUGAUUCCUUGAUUGCGAAACCUCUGUUUCUCAGUUGUUGAUUUUGUUCCAUUUACUUUUUUACUUGCUCUCUCUCUCACAUACAAAGACCAUAGCUUUUCCACAAGUGUCAUGGCAGAAAAUUUUCAGGCUUUCUAUAUCAGAUUUUGAGUGUUUGGUUACUUUAACAGCCUGCUUCUGCUGAUGGAUCUGGAAACUGAAAAUCGAAUAGCUUCGGUUCUGUUGAGAGAAGCAGCAGAGUUGAGGAGACAAGCUGAAAAAGAUGGUGUCCGAGCUUAUCUUGAGAAGCCUAAUGUAAGGCAUCGACCUAACUCGAGGUUUCUCACAGCAACUGUCCUUGGUGUUCAACAAUGUAAUGCUUUUCUUUCCACCCUUUACUUAUUUUCGUUUUACAAAAGUUAAGAUUGAAAAGGAUAAGCCUUUGCAUUGCUAUAGUGUGUGAUAUUCUUUUGUUUGUUGAAACAAUAGUUGUAUGUUUUUGGAAGAGGAUUAUUUUAAUUGUUGGUGAAUGGUCGAUUCACAAUAAGAAUGUUGGCAGAAUCUGAAAGUUUUGUUUUGGGUUUUGUGUUUCUUAACAGUUCAAUGUUGUGACUUACGUGUCUGUCUAGUACUCAAUGUAGCUCAAUAUGUUAAUUAUUUACUCUAAUCUCUUGCAUGUUUCUUGACCAUAAUACAACAAACAGAGCGGUAGAAACCAAUGAGAUGUGGAAGGCUCAAAAGCAAGAAAACGAAAGGCUCAAAAGAAAAUCAAGAGAGGAAAGCAGCAGCAGCAGUAGCCAAAUGAAGCGGAGUAGUAGUUUCUCGAAAAGGAGUUUGGAUAAGAAAUGUAGCUCCAUUAAUGAGGAGAGAAAGAUCACUCAUCAAUCAUCAUUGGACAAAAGAUUGUACUUGGAUGAUGAUGAUGAAGGUUUAGGAGAUGAUGAGAAUUGAGUCUUUUCUCCAAUCACAGUAUAUAUGUCUAUUUGCUAUAGCUUCUGUUACCUUUAGCUUUCUUCAUCUUCUGAGUCUCUUUGUAAAUGACAGGAACAAACAUGGGAGAGGCUCUGUUGGUCCUAGGAUGGAUGAAACUGUCCCUUAUCUUCUCACCGAGAAGGUUGAUCAAUUGCAAAGUUCUGAUACAAGGGAAAGGAAGGUAGUCUUGCUGCAGCUUGGGCUCUAACUAAUCUAUAUUAUCUUGCAUGUUAGAAACCUCUUAUAAGGGUUUAUAAAACUAUUUAUAAGAACUUAUAAAUCAUUUUUAAGGUUUUAAAAAUAUAUAUUUAUAAGAGUUUAUGAAUCUGUAUAUAAGGGUUUGUAAAAAUAUUAUAAGAGUUUAAUAAUCUUCAUAGCACAAUUUAUAAGAGUUAAUGAAUCUUUUUCAAGAGUUUAUAAAUCUUUACAAACAUUUAGAAGUAAAAUAUUCAUAAAGCUAUUAUAAGUGUCUAUAAUUCUAAUAUAAAUGUUUGUAAAUUAUUUAUAAUAAAUAAAAGAUUAUUUAUAAUGGUUUAUAAAACAAUUAAUAAGACUUUAUAAAAUCAGUCUAUAAGGUUUUUUAAAUAUAUUAUUAAAGUAUAAUUCAUUUAUAAGAGUUUAUAAAAUCAGUUUAUAAGGAUUAUAAAUAAUUAAUAAAUGUUUAUGAAUGAUUUAUGAAGAUUUAGAAAUCAUUUAUAAACCUUUAUCAAUAGUUUAUAUAUAUUCCUCAUGUGGUGGAAAACAGCAAGAUGAUGCAGUAGAGGUUCGUGGGGAUAUUGAGUUUGCUGUAUAGUUCUUAGCUAAGAAUAAGAGCGAGUGUCUCCAAGAAAAAUGGGGAGUGUUGGAGAAGUCUCUGGAGGCGGCUUUAGAUGUGGAUCAGACGAUCUUCGUGGUUGUGGCGGAAGACGUGGAGAGGAGCAAAACGACGGUGUUAUGGGGGGGGGGCAAGAAACUUCUCCAGCAAGAAGAUUUGCUUGCUUUACGUCCAUCGUCCUGCUCGGCAUGCCUCCUGCAGUGAGAAUCUUAUGCUUCUCUUUCUCUCUGACUUAACUGUUUUGUGGUGAAUUAUAAAAUAUUUAUGGAUGUUGAAUUGUUCUUGAGUGUAGAUUUGCUCAUGAAUCAUGAUUGAAUCGUACCGAGUCUAUAUAUAUAUAUCCUUUAGU
Molecule: long non-coding RNA, 6429 nt
Organism: Brassica napus (rape)
Lineage: Eukaryota; Viridiplantae; Streptophyta; Magnoliopsida; Brassicales; Brassicaceae
Exons: 2
Source: RefSeq, a predicted model, not a curated record